AAAAUCUGCCUAUCAGAGGGGAAUAACAGUGAGAAAUCAUUGCUAAUACCGCAUAUGCCAUAGGGUUCGCAUGAACCUAGUGGGAAAGGAGCAAUCCGCUGAUAGAUGAGCUUGCGUCUGAUUAGCUAGUUGGUGGGGUAAUGGCCUACCAAGGCAACGAUCAGUAGCCGGACUGAGAGGUUGAACGGCCACAUUGGGACUGAGAUACGGCCCAGACUCCUACGGAAGGCAGCAG
This 235-nucleotide ribosomal RNA is filed under the name uncultured bacterium. RNAcentral's name for it is "partial 16S ribosomal RNA". It matches the Rfam family "Bacterial small subunit ribosomal RNA", at positions 121 to 354 of the family's 1533-position model. The record is from RNAcentral.